Molecule: ribosomal RNA, 274 nt
Filed under: uncultured bacterium
Lineage: Bacteria
Description: partial 16S ribosomal RNA
Rfam family: Bacterial small subunit ribosomal RNA
Source: RNAcentral
AUACGGAGGGUGCAAGCGUUACUCGGAAUCACUGGGCGUAAAGCGCGCGCAGGCGGCCAUUUAAGUUGGAUGUGAAAGCCUACGGCUCAACCGUAGAACUGCAUCCAAGACUAUUUGGCUAGAGUGUGGGAGAGGAAGAUGGAAUUAGUUGUGUAGGGGUAAAAUCCGUAGAGAUAACUAGGAAUACCAAAAGCGAAGGAAAUCUUCUGGAACAUUCCUGACGCUGAGGCGCGAAAGCGUGGGGAGCAAACAGGAUUAGAAACCCUUGUAGUCC